AAGAGAUGUUGCCCUUCGGGGUAUACCUCCCACCCUUUGUUUAUUAUACCUUUGUUGCUUUGGCGGGCCCGUCCUCGGACCACCGGCUUCUGCUGGUCAGUGCCCGCCAGAGGACCUAAAACUCUGUUUGUUAAUAUUGUCUGAGUACUAUAUAAUAGUUA
Molecule: unclassified non-coding RNA, 161 nt
Filed under: soil metagenome
Description: partial internal transcribed spacer 1
Source: RNAcentral